RNAcentral lists this non-coding RNA (30 nucleotides) under Rattus norvegicus (Norway rat). The record is from RNAcentral. Lineage: Eukaryota; Metazoa; Chordata; Mammalia; Rodentia; Muridae.
UGAAGACUUGAGAGCUGAGGCGCCUGUGCC